Molecule: ribosomal RNA, 253 nt
Filed under: uncultured bacterium
Lineage: Bacteria
Description: partial 16S ribosomal RNA
Rfam family: Bacterial small subunit ribosomal RNA
Source: RNAcentral
UACAGAGGGGGCAAGCGUUGUUCGGAAUUACUGGGCGUAAAGGGCGCGUAGGCGGCCUGUUAAGUCGAACGUGAAAUCCCCGGGCUCAACCCGGGAACUGCGUCCGAUACUGGCAGGCUUGAAUCCGGGAGAGGGAUGUGGAAUUCCAGGUGUAGCGGUGAAAUGCGUAGAUAUCUGGAGGAACACCGGUGGCGAAGGCGGCAUCCUGGACCGGUAUUGACGCUGAGGCGCGAAAGCUAGGGUAGCGAACGGG